Molecule: ribosomal RNA, 433 nt
Filed under: uncultured bacterium
Lineage: Bacteria
Description: bacterial SSU rRNA
Rfam family: Bacterial small subunit ribosomal RNA
Source: RNAcentral
GAACGCGAAGAACCUUACCAGGUCUUGACAUCCCUCUGACCGCUCUAGAGAUAGAGCUUUCCUUCGGGACAGAGGUGACAGGUGGUGCAUGGUUGUCGUCAGCUCGUGUCGUGAGAUGUUGGGUUAAGUCCCGCAACGAGCGCAACCCCUAUUGUUAGUUGCCAUCACUUAGUUGGGCACUCUAGCGAGACUGCCGGUAAUAAACCGGAGGAAGGUGGGGAUGACGUCAAAUCAUCAUGCCCCUUAUGACCUGGGCUACACACGUGCUACAAUGGCUGGUACAACGAGUCGCAAGCCGGUGACGGCAAGCUAAUCUCUUAAAGCCAGUCUCAGUUCGGAUUGUAGGCUGCAACUCGCCUACAUGAAGUCGGAAUCGCUAGUAAUCGCGGAUCAGCACGCCGCGGUGAAUACGUUCCCGGGUCUUGUACACACC